UCCUAUAGCUACACCCCUUUCAUGACAGAAAAUAAUAUGUGUCUGCAUAAGUGUCUAUCGCGACACCGAACGUCUAAAUAUCAACAAUUACUCUUUAAUUUUAGACUAUUAUGGCACAAAGAAAUACACGCCUCUAUAGUACCCUAAUUACGACAUUAAUCAGCGUCACAACCCUUUAUUUUUCUUUUCGAAUUUUUAAUUUAGAGUUGAUAACAACGUUUAGUUAAUUAAUAAAAUUAAAUGACUUCAAAGUGCACUUUUUCAAUUAAAAAAUGACAAUUAAUAGAUUAGCGAUGACAGCUGUGGAGUCCUCAUUAUCAAAGUAUUUACACAUUCAGAUUCACUCUUCAGCUUAAAAGAAAUUACUUGAUACUACCUUCGUCUCACUCCAAUAGGCUCAUUGUUUUUUGGCACGAAAAUUAAAAAAACUUACUUUUUAGUAGGAAAGUAGUAGUAAAGUGGUGUGAUCCACACCAAUUAAAUACAACUUUUUUACCCAAAAAGAAAAAUGAGCCUAUUGUAAUAUGACAUCCCAAAAAAGAAAAUGAGCCUAUUCGAGUGGGACGGAGGGAGUACUAUUUUUUUAAUUCCAGAUUAUGAUAAAAAAAAAUAUUUUUAAUUAAUCAAAACAAAGAAAUAGCUCCAUAGGCGGCAAUACUUCCCACCAAAUAAUUUUCUUUCGGAUUGUUUUUUUUUUAAGGAUAAUGAAUGAUUGUUUUAAAAUUCAUUAUUUGCGGAAUAUUUGGGGCAUAAAAUCUGUAAAUAUUUUGGAUAUGAUACGUUAUUAUUUAGAUUUUUUGUGGGAGAAUAAUUUCUUUUUGAGUGGGGUGGGAUUAUGUGCAAUAAAUUUCAUCUCCCAUCCUUCAAAAAAAAAAAAGUUUAAUCUCCCGGUAAUAUGCACAUUGCGCAAAAAAAUUUCCUUUUCUACUAGACGGUUACUCUAGAAGUGAAGCAAAGUUCACAGUUUCUCUUAAUUCAAAGUUCAGAAGUUCACCCAGCAAAUUUUUGUUUUCAAUAUGAAGGAACCCGUAAGAAGUUCAUCAACAUCAGUGGAAAGGUCAAUUUGAAGGAACCCGUGAGUUUCAUUAGAUGCCUUUCUCUUCUCCGGUCAAUUGUGAGGUUGAAAUGGAUGCUCCCUGGAGCCAUUAUCUACUGCUAUCUACAGUUUGUAGGGAUGAUCAGGUAUAUGAUCCAUCGAAGAAGUCAAGAAACAAGUUGUUAAGAUACUUCAAGAUGUUAGUAUUAUUGUAGAAACCAUCAAGGAUGACCGUUCUUAUUGGUCUAUCAAAUUCAGGAAAAACGACAAAUUUUAAAGUUGCAGCAAGAAGAAGGUGCUUGCCAUAUUAACUAAAGACACGGGUUGGAGAUUUUAUGCACAACAUGGCUUCAGAAGAAGAGUGCAACAUGCCAUCACUUUUUAGCACUAUAUAUAUAUUUUUUCUUUGAAAUUUUAGAUAUUUUUCUAAAUAGGUUGUUCGAUUAGUGCUACUAUAAAAGUUAAUGAAGUGAUGUACAUCUUGUUCCAAAUUUUUGGGAUCAUUGAUUUUUUUUUAUUAUUAUUAAUAUAUGAUUUUUAUUGUAUUGGA
Salvia miltiorrhiza (redroot sage) is the source of this 1586-nucleotide long non-coding RNA. RefSeq lists it as uncharacterized. NCBI's taxonomy places the organism in Eukaryota, Viridiplantae, Streptophyta, Magnoliopsida, Lamiales, Lamiaceae. The record is from RefSeq and is a predicted model, not a curated record. The transcript has 6 exons.